This 466-nucleotide ribosomal RNA is filed under the name uncultured bacterium. RNAcentral describes it as "partial 16S ribosomal RNA". It matches the Rfam family "Bacterial small subunit ribosomal RNA", at positions 28 to 507 of the family's 1533-position model. The record is from RNAcentral.
GAUGAACGCUGGCGGCGUGCUUAACACAUGCAAGUCGAACGGAAAGGCUCCUGCUUGCAGGGGUACUCGAGUGGCGAACGGGUGAGUAACACGUGGGUGAUCUGCCCUGCACUUCGGGAUAAGCCUUGGAAACUGGGUCUAAUACCGGAUAGGACGAUGGUUUGGAUGCCAUUGUGGAAAGUUUUUCGGUGUGGGAUGAGCUCGCGGCCUAUCAGCUUGUUGGUGGGGUAAUGGCCUACCAAGGCGUCGACGGGUAGCCGGCCUGGGAGGGUGUACGGCCAAAUUGGGACUGAGAUACGGCCCAGACGCCUACGGGAGGCAGCAGUGGGGAAUAUUGACCGAUGGGCGCAAGCCUGAUGCAGCGACGCCGCGGGGGGGAGGACGGCCUUCGGGUUGAAAGCUCCUUUCGCUAGGGACGAAGCGUUUUGUGACGGUACCUGGAGAAGAAGCACCGGCUAACUACGUG